CUUGCUCUUCGAUUCAGCGGCGGACGGGUAGUUGCCUAGAAUCUGCCUGGNUAUGGGGACAACGUUUCGAAAGGAACGCUAAUACCGCAUACGUCCUACGGGAGAAAGCAGGGACCUUCGGGCCUUGCGCUAUCAGAUGAGCCUAGGUCGGAUUAGCUAGUUGGUGAGGUAAUGGCUCACCAACGCGACGAUCCGUAACUGGUCUGAGAGGAUGAUCAGUCACACUGGAACUGAGACACGGUCCAGACUCCUACGGGAGGCAGCAGUGGGGAAUAUUGGACAAUGGGCGAAAGCCUGAUCCAGCCAUGCCGCGUGUGUGAAGAAGGUCUUCGGAUCAUAAAGCACUUUAAGUUGGGAGGAAGGGCAUUAACCUAAUACGUUAGUGUUUUGACGUUACCGACAGAAUAAGCACCGGCUAACUCUGUGCCAGCAGCCGCGGUAAUACAGAGGGUGCAAGCGUUAAUCGGAAUUACUGGGCGUACAGCGCGCGUAGGUGGUUUGUUCAGUUGGAUGUG
RNAcentral lists this ribosomal RNA (515 nucleotides) under uncultured bacterium. RNAcentral describes it as "bacterial SSU rRNA". It matches the Rfam family "Bacterial small subunit ribosomal RNA", at positions 79 to 596 of the family's 1533-position model. The record is from RNAcentral.